RNAcentral lists this ribosomal RNA (253 nucleotides) under uncultured bacterium. RNAcentral's name for it is "partial 16S ribosomal RNA". It matches the Rfam family "Bacterial small subunit ribosomal RNA", at positions 524 to 776 of the family's 1533-position model. The record is from RNAcentral.
UACGUAGGGUGCGAGCGUUGUCCGGAAUUAUUGGGCGUAAAGGGCUCGUAGGCGGUUUGUCACGUCGGGAGUGAAAACUCGGGGCUUAACUCCGUGCCUGCUUCCGAUACGGGCUGACUAGAGGUAUGCAGGGGAGAACGGAAUUCCUGGUGUAGCGGUGAAAUGCGCAGAUAUCAGGAGGAACACCGGUGGCGAAGGCGGUUCUCUGGGCAUGUCCUGACGCUGAGGAGCGAAAGUGUGGGGAGCGAACGGG